AUUGAACGCUGGCGGCAGGCCUAACACAUGCAAGUCGAGCGGAUGAAGGGAGCUUGCUCCUGGAUUCAGCGGCGGACGGGUGAGUAAUGCCUAGGAAUCUGCCUGGUAGUGGGGGAUAACGUCCGGAAACGGGCGCUAAUACCGCAUACGUCCUGAGGGAGAAAGUGGGGGAUCUUCGGACCUCACGCUAUCAGAUGAGCCUAGGUCGGAUUAGCUAGUUGGUGGGGUAAAGGCCUACCAAGGCGACGAUCCGUAACUGGUCUGAGAGGAUGAUCAGUCACACUGGAACUGAGACACGGUCCAGACUCCUACGGGAGGCAGCAGUGGGGAAUAUUGGGCAAGGGGCGAAAGCCUGAUCCAGCCAUGCCGCGUGUGUGAAGAAGGUCUUCGGAUUGUAAAGCACUUUAAGUUGGGAGGAAGGGCAGUAAGUUAAUACCUUGCUGUUUUGACGUUACCAACAGAAUAAGCACCGGCUAACUUCGUG
Molecule: ribosomal RNA, 484 nt
Filed under: uncultured bacterium
Lineage: Bacteria
Description: partial 16S ribosomal RNA
Rfam family: Bacterial small subunit ribosomal RNA
Source: RNAcentral